UACGGAGGGGGCAAGCGUUGUCCGGAAUCACUGGGCGUAAAGGGCGCGUAGGCGGCGCGGGAAGUCAUCGGUGAAAGCUCAGGGCUCAACUCUGAGUCGGCCGGUGAUACUCUCGUGCUUGAGCACUGUAGAGGCAGGUGGAAUUCCGGGUGUAGCGGUGGAAUGCGUAGAGAUCCGGAAGAACACCGGUGGCGAAGGCGGCCUGCUGGGCAGUAGCUGACGCUGAGACGCGAAAGCGUGGGGAGCGAACAGG
This 253-nucleotide ribosomal RNA is filed under the name uncultured bacterium. RNAcentral describes it as "partial 16S ribosomal RNA". It matches the Rfam family "Bacterial small subunit ribosomal RNA", at positions 524 to 776 of the family's 1533-position model. The record is from RNAcentral.